GAAUAUUACUAAUUUUGCGAUGCUCUUUCAUGCUAUGAUGGAAUUUUGUCUAGACUUGUUGAGAUCAAAAGUUUGGUUAAUGGUCCUUUCCCCUUAUAACUAAAAUUUCGAUCUAGAGAAAAAUUUCAUCACAGCUUGAAAGAGCAUAACAAAAUUAGUAAUAUUC
Paramuricea clavata is the source of this 166-nucleotide non-coding RNA. The record is from the annotation of a GenBank genome assembly. NCBI's taxonomy places the organism in Eukaryota, Metazoa, Cnidaria, Anthozoa, Malacalcyonacea, Plexauridae.